AUGGUGGUGCUCAUGGAGUACGCCCCCGGCGUCGGCGUGACCAUGAAGAGGAAGGGCGAGGAGGAGCCGGGACUGUUUGCGUUCCCCGACGACGGCGACUGCUGCAGCGUUCCGAUUUCCUGCCGCGCGACCAAGAUGAGGCGGCUGGAGAUUGCCGGCACCGGCCAUGAUUUGCCGCCGGCGGCGACCGUUGGGACGGAGGGCGACGUUAUGAUGGCGGAGGAGCCGCCGGCGCCGUCGCUCGGGGCCGCGGAAGAGGAAAAGAGGGCUCUGGUGGUGUACGGCCCGGCCGUCGACGCCGCGCGCGCUGGUGGCCGGCUCGGCCUUCUCGGCCAAUGGCGGCUCCGCCCGUGGGCGCCCCUGAGCGCCGGCGCCGAGUGGAUCCGUGACAUGCUGCGCGAGGCGGACGGCCGCACGGUGCGGGCGGUGCUGUCCAGCGCUCAGGAAGAGGGCGGCGCCGACCUGGCCCUGGUCCCUUGGGGCGCCGCACACGUGCCGGCAGAGGCGAAUCAGCCGUCCACGGCCGCGGAGACGGUGGACGGGGAAGAGGACGCCGAGGGAACGGCAGCGAUGGACGUCGAAGAGGAGAGGGAACAUCAUCAGGCCCAGGCGGUCGCGGCCGGCUGCGGUGAGGGGUACCUGUGCCGGUGGCCGCAGCACUGCUUGGCGCCGCCUCCGUUGCCGGCGGUUCGCCAGGCGACCCCGGCUGUGUGGUCGUGGUGA
RNAcentral lists this ribosomal RNA (723 nucleotides) under Triticum aestivum (bread wheat). RNAcentral describes it as "partial small subunit ribosomal RNA". Lineage: Eukaryota; Viridiplantae; Streptophyta; Magnoliopsida; Poales; Poaceae. The record is from RNAcentral.